Molecule: long non-coding RNA, 517 nt
Filed under: Mus pahari (shrew mouse)
Lineage: Eukaryota; Metazoa; Chordata; Mammalia; Rodentia; Muridae
Description: lncRNA (MGP_PahariEiJ_G0003167.1)
Source: RNAcentral
GUCAUCUGAACAGGAAUCGGGAGCACCAAGAAAUGAGCUGAGCAGUCUCUCUCCAAAUGUUUUCCGUAGGCAAGGUUCAGUGAGUGCUGUAGCGAUUGUUGAAGCGCGCCGGAGGGAGACGCGGGCCUGCAGCCCUGCAGUGGGCAUUGGCUAGAACACCAUUCAACUGCAGCUAUGUUAAUGGCUUUGGCCAAGUAACACUUGAAGUUCAACUGAGCCAGAAAGGACAGAGACGAGUGCUACUGAAGUGGAAAUGUCUUAAAUCCUGUUUUGUGAUUUCCCCGCCUCAGAGCUGAGUCACCCCCUGCCCGGAGAAAGGAUCCUUCAUUUCAUGGCUCACUCACUUCCUAUCCAAGCCAUCUCAAGUGAAGGGAGAAAGAACCAAGGAAUCCCUCCUGCGCCUGGACCUGAAGACGAAGGAAGGACUGUAAUCCCAGCUUCUCUGGAGGACGAGGCAGGAAGAGUUCCAGGCCACUCUGGGAAAUUUAGAGACUCUCAAAAAAAAAAAAAAAAAAAA